GACGACAACGUUCUGCCGUCAUUGGCAAACACACUAGACCACGGGCAUGGGUGACCAUAAAAUUGAUCGCCUCAGGCGUCACGUGCUCAGCAGCCAUAAUCA
Molecule: non-coding RNA, 102 nt
Filed under: uncultured Glaciecola sp.
Lineage: Bacteria; Pseudomonadati; Pseudomonadota; Gammaproteobacteria; Alteromonadales; Alteromonadaceae
Source: RNAcentral